This 500-nucleotide ribosomal RNA is filed under the name uncultured bacterium. RNAcentral's name for it is "partial 16S ribosomal RNA". It matches the Rfam family "Bacterial small subunit ribosomal RNA", at positions 30 to 523 of the family's 1533-position model. The record is from RNAcentral.
AUUGAACGCUGGCGGCAUGCCUUACACAUACAAGUCGAACGGCAGCACGGGAGCAAUCCUGGUGGCGAGUGGCGAACGGGUGAGUAAUAUAUCGGAACGUGCCCAGUCGUGGGGGAUAACGUAGCGAAAGCUACGCUAAUACCGCAUACGAUCUAUGGAUGAAAGCGGGGGAUCGCAAGACCUCGCGCGAUUGGAGCGGCCGAUAUCAGAUUAGGUAGUUGGUGGGGUAAAGGCUCACCAAGCCGACGAUCUGUAGCUGGUCUGAGAGGACGACCAGCCACACUGGGACUGAGACACGGCCCAGACUCCUACGGGAGGCAGCAGUGGGGAAUUUUGGACAAUGGGCGCAAGCCUGAUCCAGCAAUGCCGCGUGCAGGAUGAAGGCCUUCGGGUUGUAAACUGCUUUUGUACGGAACGAAACGGCGAGCUCUAAUACAGUUCGCUAAUGACGGUACCGUAAGAAUAAGCACCGGCUAACUACGUGCCAGCCGCCGCAGUAA